GACGACUGGGAGCUUGCUGUCCUUCUCUCUUUUUGCCUUUAUUUUUUAUUUGUUUAUUUUUUUUGGACCUCUACUGAUAAAAAAACAAACUUGUGUUGAAAUAGUGGGAUAUUGUAUUGAUUAUGAGUGAGCUGGGAGAGCAGUAGAUCCUAUUUUAAGAUCUAUUGAUUUUUUUAAUAUUAAAUUUAGUUGGCCACAAAGUGAGGUGAUUUGACUUUAAAACCUCCUAUUGUGCUAUAUAAUAAAGUAUUAUUAAACUGUCUCACUAGUUUAAUAUGCUACCGAUAAUAGGAAGUGCUUCACCUAUGAAAAAGGAAAAAAAUUGCUCAUAUCCUGCAUAUAUACAAUUUUUCUAGCUCUUGCUGUCUCCUAUAUAGAGAUGGUCAAUGGGCCGGGCGGCACGAGGCACGACACAUGCCCGCACAGCACAGCACGACAUGCGCACGUUUCGGUAGGGCACGAGUCACGGCACGCACGUGGGCCAUGCCGGGUCUAAAAUUUUAGGCAUGCGGGCCUUAAAAGCACGGCAUAAAGAUGGGCCAAAGCACGGCACGCGAAAAGGCAUGUAAUAAGCACGCUUCAUUGGUGGGUUAAGCACGCGGCCCGUGGGCCAAAGCAUAUCAAAAUAAAAUU
RNAcentral lists this long non-coding RNA (633 nucleotides) under Citrus x clementina. RNAcentral's name for it is "Citrus clementina (C. clementina) long non-coding RNA (CCLE_LNC004063)". Lineage: Eukaryota; Viridiplantae; Streptophyta; Magnoliopsida; Sapindales; Rutaceae. The record is from RNAcentral.